GAGGCUGGAGUGAAUGUAUUGAUUAGAUCCAUUGCACUUGUUUGCUUAUGAAAGUAGUUAGUAUUAGGGAUGAGAUUUAAUUCAAACUGAAAAAAUCUCAAAGCUUAUAUGCUUUUGGCGAAGUUGAUGUCACCUACAUUAUGUUGAUUUGUGCAGGUCAGAAGUUAUAGGUGAGCUAAAAGGGGAAAGAAAUGAAGAAUUGUCCCAAUUCAAAGCUCAGCCUCUAAAUAAGAAGGUAUCAUUAAUUAUCACUGUAUCUGGAUCUUGUUCUUGUAUAUAGUCAUAUCUCAACAAUCUCUAUCUAAUGUUGUGACCUAGAUACUGUCGAGUAAGGGGGAUAUGGGUGUCUUUAUAAGUACCAAGAGAGAAACCACAGUACCCAUGUAUGCCAUUGUUCUCAUUUAAGGUGGUGCAUGAUUUGUAAUUUUCUUUGAGUUUUUUUUUUUUUUUUUGCAAGUGUUUCCUUACCAUUAUCAUUUUAAACUUCCCAACAGGAAUUUGAUUUCCAGACAGACAAGAGCCUUCAGCAGAAUCCACCAAUAGAACUGUUCAAGAAGCUCUCGUUGAAGUCUGAACUUCAGCAGCAGAAUACCAUAGCUGAGUCGGCAUUGUCUCAUCCCACUCGUAUAUUGAUUAAGGGCUCAAAGGAGAAUAGAUAUUCUUUACAACAACAAAACAAGAUCUCAGACAUGAGUAAAGAAAAACUGCAAAGGCAUGGGGCAAAGCAGACUCAAUAUUACUCAUGUAUUAGAGACCAUGAUUCCUAAGGACUUCUUAAAUUGCCAGAGAAUAGGGAAGGUGCUGACUGCAAAAGCAAAGGUCCGCGAUGGGCAAGUGUAAAUUUGGGAAUCUUCAUCUGCAUGCAAUGUUCCAGAAUCCACAGAAGUCUAGGAGUACACAUAUCAAAGGAACAACAUUGGUGCAGUUAUCUUGCUCUAGGCACCUGUAGUCUUAAUUGCAUUGUGGAAUAUGCAUCCAUUAUUCAAAGAAAGGGCGACAUUUUAAGCACU
This is a long non-coding RNA of Magnolia sinica, 1010 nucleotides long. RefSeq lists it as uncharacterized. The record is from RefSeq and is a predicted model, not a curated record. NCBI's taxonomy places the organism in Eukaryota, Viridiplantae, Streptophyta, Magnoliopsida, Magnoliales, Magnoliaceae. The transcript has 7 exons.